CUCCAGGCCCACCCAAGGCUUCCCCAGCCUCUGGUCCCUUCCCUGCUCCUCAGUCACCGCCUCUCUGGGGAUCUCGACAGUAGAUGAAGUGACAAGUCUUUGUGCUUAAUUAAGACACAUUGUCCCACCAAUUGGGAAGUGGGAAAUGGCUGGGCUGUUUUACAAAUAGAAACAAUUCUUGUUCAUUAUCCCUUAAUUGAGGCAACAAAGGGUUCUGGAAAACAUCCAUCAGAAACACAUUCAUGUACAUCAUCAGAGGGGAUUGGGUUGAGGAGGACACAAAAGCCACAGCAAAUGUUCCAAUCAGGAACGACACAGACAAAGGGAAAAGAGGGCCCCAGAGCCCAAAUGCUGCAGAAUUAGCCCAAUUACACAGUUGAUGUGGUGGGGAACAAGUCUUCUGGCUUCUGGCCACCUCGUCUCUUAGCCUCUUUUUACCCCUCCAACUUCCUUGUAUCAGAUAGAGAGGAGCAAGGAAGAAACCUCCCAGACGCCCUGUAAGCCUGGCUCUGGUUCCCAGGAUGGAGACAGGACGGGCUGACAGAGGGCCCUGGAGGGCGAAAGUUGUCAUCUGAAUCCCAGAUAUGGCCUGCCUGUAAUCGCCACCUCCCUCUUUCUUGUCAGUAUGCUCCUUGUGAUAUGACCUCAGAUACCAAGCAGCUCUAUCUCAGUGGUUUUAUGGUCAGCUUGUGGCUCAAGUCCUUAAGCUAUUUUUAUGUGACUUUUUGUUUUCAGGCUGGAUCUCCCCCAUCCUAUAUUCAAUUAUACAAUUAUAUUUUGGAGUCCAAGUUACAAGUUUGCAGUCACCCAUUUGUCCCAGCCUGUUUGUCUCGUCACUGCAUGGAGGUAACCCGAAUGCCCAGGUAGUGAGAAACUACUGCCAUGGAUCCUCCCAGGAUUUGCUAGAGGAAGCGUGCUAACUGCCUGAGCACCUGACCAGCCAUCUCCGCCUGCUCCCGUCUCUACAUCUGGUCAGUUCAGAGGGUCCAGGUAACAUGGCCCCGUUCAGCCUUUCCUGGAGAGGACAGGGCUUCAAGGCCCAGCUGAAAUGUCACCCCCUCGGUGAGGAAGCCCCCCUGUGCGCCCAUGGGCUCCAGGUACCCUGCACAGCCCCUGGACACCGGGACACCGUGCCACACUUCCAGCAAGCAUGUCACACGACACAACUGUUCCAGUGGACCCUGCAUGAAUUCACCCAGGUUGAUGAGGCCCCGGUGUUUGCUGGAGAGAGCUCUGGGGAGGCUGCAGGUGCAGAGUGGGCCACUCACCUGGCAAAUGAGCCAACCGUGGCCAGGGGAACCUGCAGGGCCCUUCAGACGCUUUUAUGCCAAAAGCUGGGCACAGGAAAUACCUCACGGGCAUGCGGUUGGAAGCCCAAAAGGAGGCACCCUCCACGAGAUGGCCAGGUGGCCCGUGCACACCGGGACGGAUACGCAGCUAGCAGCAGCCUUUGGUGCUUGACAGGAGGUCCUGGGGGAGAGAGGCAGAGACCGAGGUAAGAAACAGGGAGACAGACAGAGAUAAAGGA
RNAcentral lists this long non-coding RNA (1528 nucleotides) under Felis catus (domestic cat). Its description in RNAcentral is "lncRNA (ENSFCAG00000041036.2)". The record is from RNAcentral. Lineage: Eukaryota; Metazoa; Chordata; Mammalia; Carnivora; Felidae.